CCCGCCGACGCCACGAGGAAUCUGUCCCAGCAGUGCCUGAACGCGCUCGCACCGGUGCUGCCGGGUCUCAUCGGCGGCAGCGCCGACCUCGCCUCCUCCAACAUGACGCUGCUCAAGGCGUACGGCGACUUCCAAAAGGACACGCCGGAGGAGCGGAACGUGAGGUUCGGCGUCCGCGAGCACGGCAUGGGGGCCAUCUGCAACGGCAUCGCGCUCCACAGCCCCGGGUUCGUCCCCUACUGCGCCACCUUCUUCGUCUUCACCGACUACAUGCGCGCCGCCAUGAGGAUCUCCGCCCUGUGCGAGGCGGGGGUCAUCUACGUGAUGACCCACGACUCCAUCGGGCUCGGGGAGGACGGGCCGACCCACCAGCCGAUCGAGCACCUGGUGAGCUUCCGCGCCAUGCCCAACAUCCUCAUGCUCCGCCCCGCCGACGGCAACGAGACGGCCGGCGCCUACAAGGUGGCGGUGCUCAACCGGAAGAGGCCGUCGGUGCUGGCCCUCUCCCGGCAGAAGUUGGCCCAGCUGCCGGGGACCUCGAUCGAGGGCGUGGAGAAGGGAGGCUACAUCGUCUCCGACAAUUCGACGGGCAACAAGCCGGACCUGAUCCUGCUGGGGACCGGCUCCGAGCUGGAGAUCGCAGAGAAGGCCGCCGGCGAGCUGAGGAAGGAG
RNAcentral lists this long non-coding RNA (672 nucleotides) under Spirodela polyrhiza (greater duckweed). RNAcentral's name for it is "long non-coding RNA (SPOL_LNC000377)". The record is from RNAcentral. Lineage: Eukaryota; Viridiplantae; Streptophyta; Magnoliopsida; Alismatales; Araceae.